This 1178-nucleotide long non-coding RNA is filed under the name Malus domestica (apple). RNAcentral's name for it is "long non-coding RNA (MDOM_LNC021250)". Lineage: Eukaryota; Viridiplantae; Streptophyta; Magnoliopsida; Rosales; Rosaceae. The record is from RNAcentral.
GGGUGUAACCAUUGUUUUGCAUGAAAUUCGUAGGAGUUUUCACCCAUUACUUCUAGUGUUGUUCCUUGUUGUUUUAAGUGUUUUUAAGCUGUUUUGGAGUGUUUUAGUGUGUUUGGACAUAAAAAUCCGAAAAUCUCAUAAAAAUUUGAAAAAUUGUUUUUAAAAAAAACCAAAAAGAGUUAUUUUUGUGUGUUUAUUUGUGUCUUAGGGUACCUUCCAAUACAAUGAUGAGGAUUUGGUUUUUAAUUACAUGACUGUUAAAGAGAGUUAUAAACAUGGAUGAAAGUUUAAUUUACUUUGGUGUAUGCUUGGUUGUGGUUAUAAUUUAUGAAUUCAAAUGAACUCAAAUGAACGCUACAACCUUGUGAGACUUGAGCCUAAUCGUUUAUUUGGAGAGUUAAUAAUCUGUGCACCAUUGUGUUCUAAAGUCGUUGCAUGAUCUUAUUAUUCUUUGCUUAGUUGCUACUUAGAAGGCGUUUCAUCAUUUAGUUCCAAAUGCUAGAACUCAUGCCUAUUUCAUUCAAAGCAUGCUAUUGAUUUGCAUAACACAUAUUCAAGAUGAAGUUGUGUAGUGACCACCAAAGCCACAUUGCCAUGCCUUUAUUUCAUUAUGUGUUUAAGUUUAACCCCGUUGAGCCUUGUUAAGCCUAUGUUCUUUGUUAGCCCACACUAUCCUUAUCUAGCCUAAUUUUAGGACCAUCCAUACCCUUAUUCUUGAAGCAUAGUAAAGCAUGACUUAAAAUGAACUCCUUUUUUAUCAAUGUAUUACAGAAAGCUAGUGUGGGGGAAGUGAUUCUUGUGUGCGUGUGUGUGCCAAAGUCCUUAAUAAGGCACGGGUAGAAAAGAAAAAAAAAGAGUGAAAAGAAAAAAGAAUUGAAAAGAGUAUGAAAAAAAGCUCUAAAGUGUUGUUUGUUAAAAAAGGCUCCAACACAUUGAAUUCGGCCCUAAGUGUUGCAUGAAUCUUCCCUUUGUAUUUGAAAGUUGAUUCUGCAUUCUAAAGUGAAUUCCAAGUGUCUAUUUCAUUGCUUUGCUUGCUAUCGCUUUAAGAACGUUUAUUAUUCCUAUCCUUUCUUUAUUAGCCAUUACCCCCAAGCCUUGUUACAACCCUUGACCUCAAUCUUGAGUGUUGUGUGUUUCAAUUUGUGGAGUUCGAAAUUGGUAUGAGCAUAUGGUGUCAC